Molecule: long non-coding RNA, 496 nt
Organism: Trifolium pratense (red clover)
Lineage: Eukaryota; Viridiplantae; Streptophyta; Magnoliopsida; Fabales; Fabaceae
Exons: 3
Source: RefSeq, a predicted model, not a curated record
GCUAUAUUACCUUCUCUCACCAACAUAAAUUAGAAACAAAUGAACCUCUCUUAAUUUUCUCAUUCUCUCACAAUUCUUUCUUUCAUCAUCUUUUACUACAAUUCUAUAAUAACUUGAUUUUUUGUUUGUUUUGCAGAAAAAUUAAAAUAUAUCCAUCUCCAUCUAACAACAACGCGGGAAAGUUGAAAGUAUUUCAGUGAUAACAACAAACAAGAACACGUGAAAGUAGAAUAGUAUAACAUUUUUCAUGAUUGAACAAAUUCUACUCAAGAUUCAUGAACAAAUUCUACUUCAAGAUAGGGAGAUGUUGAAAACAGUGGUUUUGCAUCAAACAACUUUCAAAGAUUCAAGUAACCAAGACCCAAAAAUUAUUCAUGAUAAAAACAAAAGAUGAACACGGGAAACAAAACACUACCAAGGAAGAUCGCGAGAAAAGAAAACACAUACCAAGAAAGUGGAAGAAUUUGAUUUUGAUAACAUUUCUGAGUGAUUAUAU